GAUGAAGAACGUAGCGAAAUGCGAUACGUAAUGUGAAUUGCAGAUUUCAGUGAAUCAUCGAAUCUUUGAACGCACAUUGCGCCCGCCAGUAUUCUGGCGGGCAUGCCUGUUCGAGCGUCAUUUCAACCAUCAAGCGCCUCGCUUGUGUUGGGGCCCUGCGGCUGCCGCAGGCCCCUAAAUCCAGUGGCGGGCUCGUCGUCGUACCGAGUGCAGUAAACAUCCUCGCUCAGGGAACCCGACGGGUGCCGGCCGUGAAACCCCCCCUCCUCAAGGUUGACCUCGGAUCGGGUAGGAAUACCCGCUGAACUUAAGCAUAUCAAUAAGCGGAGGA
Molecule: unclassified non-coding RNA, 331 nt
Filed under: soil metagenome
Description: partial contains 5.8S ribosomal RNA, internal transcribed spacer 2, and large subunit ribosomal RNA
Rfam family: 5.8S ribosomal RNA (bases 1-120)
Source: RNAcentral